GGGCACCACCUCCAUGGGGACAUUAUUAUUAUGGGGUCUUCCCUUUGGGGACACCAUCUCUAGGGGGACAUCACUUCCAUGGGGACAUCUCUGCGGGGAUGCCAUCUCUAUGGGGACACCUCUGUGGGGACGUCUCUGUGGGAACCCCACUUCCAUGGGGACAUCACUAUAGGGACAUCUUUAUGGGGACAUCUCUAUGGGGACAUCUCUAUGGGGACAUCUCUAUGGGGACUCCACCACCACCGUGGGGACAUCUCAGUUGGGGACGUCUUUAUGGGGGCAUCUCCUCCAUGGGGACAUUAUUAUGGGGUCUUCCCUUUGGGGACACCAUCUCUAUGGGGACAUCAUUUCCAUGGGGACAUCUCAAUGGGGCCAUCUUCAUGGGGACAUCUCUAUGGGGACAUCACCUCCAUAGGGACAUCUCUAUGGGGACUUCCCUGUGGGGACACCACCACCUCUGUGGGGACAUGUCAGUGGGGACAUCCUUCCCGUGGGGUCAUCUCCAUGGGGACAUUUCUAUGGGGACAUCUUCAUGGGGACGUCUCCAUGGGGACAUCACUUCCAUGGGGACAUCUCUAUGGGGACAUUAUUGUUAUGGGGUCUUCCCUUUGGGGACACGAUCUCUAUGGGGACACUUCUAUGGGGACAUCAUUUCCAUGGGGACAUCUCUAUGGGGACACUACUUCCAUGGGGACAUGAUUAUUAUGGGGUCUUCCCUUUAUGGACUUCAUCUCUAUGGGGACAACUCUAUGGGGACACCACCUCUACAGGGACGUUAUUAUGGGGUCUUCCUUUUGGGGACAUCACCUCCAUGGGGAUAUCUCAAUGGGGAAAUCUUCAUGGGGACAUUAUUAUGGGAUCUUCCCUAUAUGGACUCCAUCUCUAUGGGGACAACUCUAUGGGGACAACUCUAUGGGGACAACUCUAUGGGGACACCACCCCUAUGGGGACGUUAUUAUGGGGUCUUCCUUUUGGGGACAUCACCUCCAUGGGGAUAUCUCAAUGGGGACAUCUUCAUGGGGUCUUCUCUAUGGGGACACCACCUCCAUGGGGACAUUAUUAUUAUGGGAUCUUCCUUUUGGGGACACGAUCUCUAUGGGGACACUUCUAUGGGGACACCAUCUCUAUGGGGACAACUCUAUGGGGACACCACCUCUAUGGGGACACCACCUCUAUGGGGACGUUAUUAUGGGGUCUUCCUUUUGGGGACAUCACGUCCAUGGGGUCAUCUCUAUGGGGGCACCACCUCCAUGGGAACAUUAUUAUGGGGUCUUCCCUCUGUGGACCCCAUCUCUAUGGGGACACCUCUAUGGGGACAUCACUUCCAUGGGGACAUCUUCAUGGGAUUUGGG
RNAcentral lists this long non-coding RNA (1352 nucleotides) under Numida meleagris (helmeted guineafowl). RNAcentral describes it as "lncRNA (ENSNMEG00000003669.1)". The record is from RNAcentral. Lineage: Eukaryota; Metazoa; Chordata; Aves; Galliformes; Numididae.